GCCGAGAUGGCGGAAUUGGUAGACGCGCACGGUUUAGGACCGUGUGGGGCAACCCGUGCAGGUUCAAGUCCUGUUCUCGGCA
RNAcentral lists this transfer RNA (82 nucleotides) under Candidatus Beckwithbacteria bacterium. Its description in RNAcentral is "tRNA-Leu". It matches the Rfam family "tRNA". From Rfam's summary of the family: Transfer RNA (tRNA) molecules are approximately 80 nucleotides in length. Lineage: Bacteria; Candidatus Beckwithiibacteriota. The record is from RNAcentral.